This is a long non-coding RNA of Macrobrachium nipponense, 943 nucleotides long. RefSeq lists it as uncharacterized. Lineage: Eukaryota; Metazoa; Arthropoda; Malacostraca; Decapoda; Palaemonidae. The transcript is spliced from 3 exons. The record is from RefSeq and is a predicted model, not a curated record.
UAAGUCCGCCAGAAUUUGCCCGUCAACCCCGGAGCACGCCAGUCAGGCCCGCUCGUGUGGACAGGCCUUAGGAUUUAGAUAAUGCUAUAGGCUACUUGACAUUCUAUCUGACAUUUAAUUCAAUAUCAGAAUUGGAUAAAUGGUAAUUUUUGUGUUUUUUAUGAAAAAUAUAUGGAUUAAGUUAAUAAAAAUGUUACUAAUGCUCAAGUGCAUGGUUAUUCUUGAGAAGAGCGUUGUUCCUUAUGUUCUUCGACACUGGCCAAAACUUCCCGUUUUCACAAAUUGUUUUAGUAUUCAGUACAAGGCCAGUGUAACUAUGGCUGGCUCUUGGCUGCCGUGCGUAACUGUUCGUGCCAUAAGUUUUAUGUGACGGGUGUAAAACUACUCUAGUCAUCGCUUCCACUGAUAAAUGUCCCUCUCCACAAGACAAAACUUGGCUGAGAGAGCAGAUUACUAAGAAUGGGAAUGAGACAAGAGGAAAUGUGUUGUCCUUUGGGCCUAUCUUUGGAUCACCCAACCGCAAGGGCUACAAGAAAUUGAAAGCGAGCGCAUCCUUCCGAGGAAACUCUCUAAGCUGGACUAUCUUCUAGACUAAUAACAGGGUUCGCGGCUCCCUUGGAAAUAGCUGACGACCCCCAGGUGAAGAACUGCUGGACUAAAUGAUAUCUCGAGAUUGCAACUGGUGCAUAUAGGAAUUAUUUUCUUCUUCGAACUACUGGAGGUGUGAAAUGUGGCCAAGGCUUUCAAAGGUAUGCCAUGGUGAGGAAAACGGUUUCAUGACGAUACGAAUCAGUCCUUCUUUGACUUGGCUUGAGUAAGGUUUUGUCAUUAAGUACUGUCGAACUCUGAAAAGGCGUAGAAUUAUUCUAGGAGAGUAUCUGUUUGGGAUAAUCCGGCAGCUUUGUACGCUGGGAAUCUGAAAGAUCAUUUUGGAAAAGCCCUG